AUUGAACGCUGGCGGCAUGCUUUACACAUGCAAGUCGAACGGCAGCGCGGGCUUCGGCCUGGCGGCGAGUGGCGAACGGGUGAGUAAUGCAUCGGAACGUGCCCAGUAGUGGGGGAUAGCCCGGCGAAAGCCGGAUUAAUACCGCAUACGACCUGAGGGUGAAAGCGGGGGACCGAAAGGCCUCGCGCUAUUGGAUCGGCCGAUGUCGGAUUAGCUAGUUGGUGGGGUAAAGGCUUACCAAGGCGACGAUCCGUAGCUGGUCUGAGAGGACGACCAGCCACACUGGGACUGAGACACGGCCCAGACUCCUACGGGAGGCAGCAGUGGGGAAUUUUGGACAAUGGGGGCAACCCUGAUCCAGCCAUGCCGCGUGCGGGAAGAAGGCCUUCGGGUUGUAAAGCGCUUUUGUUCGGGAAGAAAUCCUCUGGGCUAAUACCCCGGGGGGAUGACGGUACCGGAAGAAUAAGCACCGGCUAACUACGUG
This 484-nucleotide ribosomal RNA is filed under the name uncultured bacterium. RNAcentral's name for it is "partial 16S ribosomal RNA". It matches the Rfam family "Bacterial small subunit ribosomal RNA", at positions 28 to 507 of the family's 1533-position model. The record is from RNAcentral.